UACGGAGGGUGCAAGCGUUAUCCGGAUUCACUGGGUUUAAAGGGUGCGUAGGCGGGCAGGUAAGUCAGUGGGGAAAUCUCCGAGCUUAACUCGGAAACUGCCAUUGAUACUAUUUGUCUUGAAUAUUGUGGAGGUAAGCGGAAUAUGUCAUGUAGCGGUGAAAUGCUUAGAUAUGACAUAGAACACCAAUUGCGAAGGCAGCUUACUACACAAUGAUUGACGCUGAGGCACGAAAGCGUGGGGAUCAAACAGG
Molecule: ribosomal RNA, 253 nt
Filed under: uncultured bacterium
Lineage: Bacteria
Description: partial 16S ribosomal RNA
Rfam family: Bacterial small subunit ribosomal RNA
Source: RNAcentral